This 239-nucleotide ribosomal RNA is filed under the name uncultured bacterium. RNAcentral's name for it is "partial 16S ribosomal RNA". It matches the Rfam family "Bacterial small subunit ribosomal RNA", at positions 923 to 1163 of the family's 1533-position model. The record is from RNAcentral.
GCACAAGCAGUGGAGUAUGUGGUUUAAUUCGAAGCAACGCGAAGAACCUUACCUGGGCUUGACAUCCCUGGAAUCGAGUAGAGAUACUUGAGUGCCUUCGGGAAUCAGGUGACAGGUGGUGCAUGGUUGUCGUCAGCUCGUGUCGUGAGAUGUUGGGUUAAGUCCCGCAACGAGCGCAACCCCUAUUGUCAGUUGCCAUCAUUAAGUUGGGCACUCUGGCGAGACUGCCGUUGACAAAA